UCUUGCGUCUGGUGAACAUUAUCUCCCUUACUUGAAGAUUGAGUUACCUCGCCUGUGUGGAAUUUUCAGCUGCAGUAACAAUACAAUCAUGAGCUGCUACAAGUUCCUCCUGCUGGUUGGAUUGAUGCUGACGUACCUAUCGAUGGUGGAGUCAUCGGCUUGCUCAAAGAUCAAGUGCCUUAACGGUGGAACAUGUUAUGAAAAAAGUGGCAGAGCCUAUUGUCGGUGUACUGUAAACUACACAGGCACCUACUGUGGAACUUUGAUUG
Molecule: long non-coding RNA, 269 nt
Organism: Physella acuta
Lineage: Eukaryota; Metazoa; Mollusca; Gastropoda; Physidae
Source: RefSeq, a predicted model, not a curated record